AGCAGGGGAGGGGCCAAGAGAUGGGGAGACACAGAAUCUGAAGCAGGCUCCAGGCACCGAGCGAGAUCAUGACCUGAGCUGAAGUCGGACGCUUAACUGACGGAGCCACCCAGGCACCCCUUGACCUUACAUUUCUAAUACCUUGUAGGUUCUUUUAGAAUUUCUAUGAUUACAAUUUUUCAUCUGUGAAUAAAGAUUGUUUAAGGUCUCGUGAAAUGACUAUACCUUUCAUUUCUUUUUCUUGCUGUCUUUCACUGGCUGGUACAUCUCAUAUAGUGUUGAAUGGAAUAGUGAUAAUGGGUUUCCUCUCUUGGCUAUAACAUCAGAGGGGAAGGCAUUCAAUAGCAAAUGCUUUUUCUGCCUUUACUGAAAUGUUCGUAUCUAUUUUUUCUUUAAAGUGAAUUACUUUGAUUUUCAAGUGUUCUCUAAAUGGCCAAUAUGCAUAGGAAAAGAAGUUCUACAUCAACAGCUAUAUUAGGGACAUUAAAGUCAUACUUUGCUACUAAACACUCACCAGAAUUGUUUAAAAGGAAUUCCAAUACCAAGCCUAGGCAGGGAUAUGGGGCACCUAUAACUGGUGUAUGUUGCUAGUGGGAGUAUAAAUUGCUGUCAUUACUUUAGAAAACUUUUUUUUUUUAAGAUUUAAAAAAAUAAUCUCUACACUCUAACAUGGGACUCGAAUUACAACUCCAAGAGUUACAUGCUCCACAGCCAGGCACCCCUAGAAAACUUUUGACACUAUCUACUAAAGCUAGUCAUACAUAUACCCUGUUACCCAAAAAUUCUACCACUGGGCAUAUCCCCAAGAGAAAAGAGUACUUAGUUUGUGUACAUGAAUAUUGAUUACAGCAUUAUGCACAGGAAAAACUGGAAAUAAAUAUCCUUUGAUAGGAGAAAAAUACUAUAGAGCAAUGAUUGAGAAUAAAUUGCCAAUACACACAACAAAAUGUAGGAACCUCACAUACAUACCUCACAUACAUAAUGUUGAGUUAAAGAAGCCAGGGUACAUCUCGAUUGAUUCCAUUUAUAUGAAGAUAAAAACUAUUGUGAGGGAUACCAGAAAGUGAUCUCCUAGCUGAGAAGAGCCAUGAAGGAAACUUCUUGGAUGCAGGAAAUGUUACAUAUCUUGAACCAGGUGGCAAUUACGCCAAUAUAUUCAGAUGUAAAAUUUUAUUGAGUUGUACACAUAAGAUUUGUACCCUUCAUGCCUCCAUAAAUAGGAGGUAAAGAUUUAAAACAAAACCAGCAACAGUCAGAAUUUGAAAUUUAUGACAUUUACAAUAGCAUCAAAAAUAUUAAAUACUGAAAAAUAAACCUGACAAAGGAUACACAAAAAGUAUACAUUGAGAUUUAUGAAACAUUGCUGAGAGAAAUUAAAGAACACCUAAACAAAUGGAGAUGCAUCUAUGGAGACUUAAUAUUGUUAAAAUGUCAGUUCUUCCCAAAUUGAUCUAUGGAUUCAACAUGAUCCCAAUCAAAAUCCCAAAGGUUUUUUCUGUUUCAGUUGAGAAACUGAUUCUGCAAAUUCAGGUGGAAAUACAUAAUUAGAAUAGUCAAAUCAACUUUGAAAAAUAACAAAGCUGGAGAACUAACACUACUGAUUUCAACACACCAACCUUUGUAUGUAUUGGCACAAAGAUCAAUAGAACAGAAUAGAGUCCAUAAAUUCACCUGUACAUAUACGACAAGUGAUUUUCAACAAAGGUCCAAAGAUAACUCAGGGAAGAUAGUUGAAAAGGAUAGUCUUUUGAUACUUUUUAAUUGAAAGGGACAGUGUUUUCAACAAAUUGAAUAUACAAAAGCAAAAAAAGUGAACAUCCAAUACAUACCUUGCAUCAUCUAUAAAAACUAACUCAAAAUGGAUCAUGGGCCCAAAUGUAAAAUUUAAAACUAUAAAACGUCUAGAAGGAAGAAAACCUUAGUGACCUGGGAUUAGGCGAAGAUUUGUUAAAUAUGACACUAACAGCAUGACCCUUAAGAAGUUGAUAAAUCAGACUUUACCAAAAUUAAAAGGUUUCUGCACUUUAAAAAUACUUGCGAAUCAUAUAGCUGAUGAAGAACUUGCAUCCAGAGUACAUAAAGAGUUCUCAAAAAUCAGUAAUAAGAAAGCAACAGAAUUUUUGAUGGACAACAAAUUUUAACAAUCAUUUCAUCAAAGAAAAUAUAUGGAUGUCACAUGAGCACAUCAAAAGAUGCUCAAAAUCAGGGGCACCUGGAUGCAGGAGCACUUGUAUCGCAACCAAACUCCUGGGGCAGCACAGACAGUGAUACAAAGCCUAGUGUUUAGUGCUUGGCAACAGUGGCUACAAUUUCUCUACAAAAUCACUUGUGCAGUUUUUUCCUAGCUGUUUGACUCAGAUUGACCCCGAUUCUCUAGUCCUUUUGUCUAUUCUAUGAACUAUACAAUAUUCUUAUAAUAAAAUUUCUUUAUGCUGAAAACCAGAAUCCAUCUCUAUUGCUAAGGACCCAGAACUCAAACUGGAAGACAAUUUGGUAUUUGGAAGUGGAAUUCUCCAAAACUGACCCUGGUAUGUUGUAUAACUCACCGGGUAUGUAUAAAAGGCAGGAUGAAAGGUACUGAGGAUACAACUAUUCCAGGAUGGGAAAAUGGUGACCCUGUGACAGGGCAUCAAACUUAUAUCAUCAAAUGGUGUGUUCUAAAGCUGACUCUGGAAAGAGUAUCCUGAGUGCUCAUACUGGAUGUGGCUGUGGAGGACAAGAAACCAGGGGGACACAGCUGAUCUGAAAAAGACGACUGCGUACGAUCUCAAACAUCCCGGGCAUGAAACUGGAUCGGGCAACAGGAUGGGACUUUGAUCUCUCUUUGGGAGAGAAAUACAGGUUUUAUGUAGGCAUGAGCAUUUUUGAAAGUGUCUGUAAAGAAAGAUGCGUGUGGGUGAUGGUAGGCCACACCAUUCUCCCUCAUUUCUUGCUGGAGAGCCCCGAUUUUGUUUGGCACCAUACACAUCUAAGUCAUUCAUGGUAACCCUACUUCCUUGACUAGCAAUUUGUUUAGGAAGGGGUAUAUGACAAAUCUAGCCAACGAGCUCUGAAGAGACAGCUGUUCAGGGUAUUCUGGGAAAGAUCUUCUGACAAACAGAAAACUAGAAGGAACUACUGCAGCUAUCUGGCAAGUAUGGCAGAAGCCAUCCUGGAAACUAAAGCAAAAUGCUGAGGAUGGGAAAGCAGAGAGGAAAGAAACCUGGUUACUAUCACCUGAGUUCCUGAAUUAACUAACCUGGAAACCUAACUCCAGACGUCUUAUUUUGUACUAUUUAAUAAUUUUAAAUUGCGUUUUUGUUUCAUGCAACUGAAAGCACCCCAAUCCGAACUGACAGGAUUUGGAGAGUGAUAUUUGAAGAUAAGGCUGGUGGGACCAAGAAGAGAGCUUGGCAAUCCACAUGUGCCACGUAGAAGCAGCCGUCUGGCAUAGCAGAAAGGAAAACUGAGAGGAGGAACUGCAUUCAGCAAUUCUAAUCUGACCAAUGGAGCUUAUUAUACGAAUACUUAAUAGCAUUGCAAAUACCAACAACAUUUUCUGUAUACCUCUUCUUAAGAAAUAUUUGCUUGAAAACACAAACACUGAGAAUUUUUACAUGAUUUAUUUAAUAAUAAACCAAUUAAAGAUACAAAAACGUUUAGAGGCUUCCAAAAUUUAAAUUUUUGCUUAAAUACAAAUUCACUCUGUAAUAUGAAAACACAGAACAAGAGACCUCUAAACAUGAUUUUUUUUCAUCUACAAAAGUUUCUCCUUUGCUGUACUAGAAAAUUUGCAGAAAACAAUUUUUCUUGUGAAAUUAAAUGUACAUUAUUUACAGUUGAAAAGUAAUCUAAAAACUAUUUCAUUUCCGAGACUCAGAUAUAUAUGUAUAUUAUCUUUGUACGCAACCCCCCCAACUCCCAAUAAAAAAAUGAUCCAAAAUAUAAAGCAAUUAUGCUUUUAUAGCAACUGACUACUCAGCCAGAUGAGCCCAAGGUGUGGUUGCUUUCUGGGCCCUUAAGAAAGAGCCUUGACUCUUUCAGAAUGGCAGUACAUCAUUUAGCACUCAGCAAUGUAAGUUUACUGAUGGGCCACGGUACACAGUGGCCUAAAAAGUUAAUGAACACAGUAUUUAGGAAGAAUUCAGAUUCAUAGCAGAUCUUACAGAUAACAGAAGAAUGAAUUUUG
Long non-coding RNA from Felis catus (domestic cat), 4168 nucleotides. RefSeq lists it as uncharacterized. The transcript is spliced from 2 exons. Lineage: Eukaryota; Metazoa; Chordata; Mammalia; Carnivora; Felidae. The record is from RefSeq and is a predicted model, not a curated record.